RNAcentral lists this ribosomal RNA (497 nucleotides) under uncultured bacterium. Its description in RNAcentral is "partial 16S ribosomal RNA". It matches the Rfam family "Bacterial small subunit ribosomal RNA", at positions 28 to 507 of the family's 1533-position model. The record is from RNAcentral.
GACGAACGCUGGCGGCGUGCCUAAUACAUGCAAGUUGAGCGGUGAAGAUUGGUGCUUGCACCAAUUUGAAGAGCAGCGAACGGGUGAGUAACGCGUGGGGAAUCUGCCUUUGAGCGGGGGACAACAUUUGGAAACGAAUGCUAAUACCGCAUAACAACUUUAAACAUAAGUUUUAAGUUUGAAAGAUGCAAUUGCUUCACUCAAAGAUGAUCCCGCGUUGUAUUAGCUAGUUGGUGAGGUAAAGGCUCACCAAGGCGAUGAUACAUAGCCGACCUGAGAGGGUGAUCGGCCACAUUGGGACUGAGACACGGCCCAAACUCCUACGGGAGGCAGCAGUAGGAAAUCUUCGGCAAUGGACGAAAGUCUGACCGAGCAACGCCGCGUGAGUGAAGAAGGUUUUCGGAUCGUAAAACUCUGUUGGUAGAGAAGAACGUUGGUGAGAGUGGAAAGCUCAUCAAGUGACGGUAACUACCCAGAAAGGGACGGCUAACUACGUG